Molecule: ribosomal RNA, 497 nt
Filed under: uncultured bacterium
Lineage: Bacteria
Description: partial 16S ribosomal RNA
Rfam family: Bacterial small subunit ribosomal RNA
Source: RNAcentral
GAUGAACGCUGGCGGCGUGCCUAAUACAUGCAAGUCGAGCGAACAGAUAAGGAGCUUGCUCCUUUGACGUUAGCGGCGGACGGGUGAGUAACACGUGGGUAACCUACCUAUGAGACUGGAAUAACUCCGGGAAACCGGGGCUAAUGCCGGAUAACAUUUAGAACCGCAUGGUUCUAAAGUGAAAGAUGGUUUUACUAUCACUUAUAGAUGGACCCGCGCCGUAUUAGCUAGUUGGUAAGGUAACGGCUUACCAAGGCAACGAUACGUAGCCGACCUGAGAGGGUGAUCGGCCACACUGGAACUGAGACACGGUCCAGACUCCUACGGGAGGCAGCAGUAGGGAAUCUUCCGCAAUGGGCGAAAGCCUGACGGAGCAACGCCGCGUGAGUGAUGAAGGUCUUCGGAUCGUAAAACUCUGUUAUUAGGGAAGAACAAAUGUGUAAGUAACUGUGCACGUCUUGACGGUACCUAAUCAGAAAGCCACGGCUAACUACGUG